Molecule: long non-coding RNA, 5675 nt
Organism: Pantherophis guttatus
Lineage: Eukaryota; Metazoa; Chordata; Lepidosauria; Squamata; Colubridae
Source: RefSeq, a predicted model, not a curated record
AAACUCGCGAGCAGGGCUGGAGCCGGGAGGGGACGGGGGAGGGCUGCUGGCGCUGUCGCGGUUCGUGUCACUGGAGCCCGCGAAAACAAGUUGGGGGCGCUGAGAGGCAGAGCGAGCAGCUUCCCUCCCUCCCUCCCUCGCUGGCGGCUUUUUGUGCCAAACGGGAAAAGGUCGGUUUGGCUGGCAGCAGCUCAAGUGUCCGAGGCGAUGGCCAUUUGCACAAUUAAGGCGGUUGAGAUAAAAGGUUGUUUUCUUCCCGCUCCCCACCCAUCUCUGCAGCCACCUGGAGUAGUUUGGGCUUACUCGGAUUGCCAAUUUUCCGCACUUUCUCGAUAGAGGCGUUGCGUCUACAAAAGUUGGAAGGUGGCGCGAAGUCGGCAGGUGCAGCCACAGUGAAUGCAGUACAGAAGAAGCCUGCUCUGUAAUCCAAGGAGAUUCGGGUGACAGAAGCCCACGCUAGCUGAAUGUUAGGAGACAAUUCCUAACACUAAGUGUCCUCGACUGAACAAUCAAUUAGCUAGAGAAGAGAGCCAGCACAUCUUGGGGAUAUACACUUUCACAGCCAAUUUAUAGAGCCAAGGUAAUCCAGUAAAUGAUACUUGAACAAGCUAAAUGUCUUAUCAGAUGUUUAAACAUUCAGUGACCCUGACUAGAACCAAAUAUAUGGGUAAGAUCAGAUUUAGAGUAUACUGAGUAAAGAUUCUUUCUUCACAAGGUACCAUUACUUGUGUUGCAGUUCAAAUGAAUGCCAGUUUUUAUGCAAUCAUUAUGAAUUGUUAACCAGUUUUAGUUAAUUUGGAAUCACAGUUUGGAGCCUGAAAACUCUGCUUCAUUUUAAUUGAUGCUAUAUUGUCUGAAAUGGAUUGAUAGGCACUUUUGUAGGAAUAAAAUAAUUAUAAUAUUACUUUAGAGUAUGACCAAAUCUAGUAUAAAUUUUCUUCAAGUUAAAUACGGUAUGCACAGGCUCUUAAUCUUAUAUUGUGUACUAGCUGGAUACCCGUGCUUCGCUAUGAAACUAUGUGAUCGGGCUUGAUAAAUCGACACUUAAAGCUUGAAAAUUAAUGAGUAGUUAUGAUCGGCCUCUCCUCUCUCCUUCUCUUCCUCAGCCUUGCCCCACAGAAACGUCUCCUAUUCCCUUCUCUCCCUCAAGCUUGCCCCACCGAACCCUAUCCUAUCCUAUCCCCCUUCUCUCCCUCAGCCUUGCCCAACAGAAACAUCUCCUAUCCUAUCCUUCUAAACAUCUCCUUCGAAACAUCUCCUAUCCAAGCUUUCUAAGGCUUGCCCCACAGAAGGCUCCCCUAUCUUAUUCCCUUGUCUCCCUCAGCCUUGCCCCACAGAAGCCUCCCCUAUCUUAUCCCCUUCUCUCCCUCAGCCUUGCCCCACAGAAGCCUCUCCUAUCCUAUCCCCUUCUCUCCCUCAGCCUUGCCCUACAGAAGCCUCUCCUAUCCUAUCCCCUUCUCUCCCUCAGCCUUGCCCCACAGAAGCCUCCCCUAUCCUAUACCCUGGUUGCUGCUGUGAAAGUAAAACUGAAACUGAAACUCCUCUCCUCUGCUUGUGUUUUGCAUUUGGAACAGAUUUCUUUUCAGGUGGCAAGGGGGAGUAGAACUCCUUAGCAUCAGAGCAUGUUAAUCAUAAUAUAGGAAAUACUAAUGCUCUGAUGGUCAUUUCAAAAAAUCUUUUCUUAGUGAGCACCUAGAAGCCAAGAGGAACAUACAUGGCAAAUUUCAAGUUUGUAGGCUUUAUGGUUCUGGAGAUUUCAUGAUUACCAUGUGAAUGGUUUUUGCUUUUAUAUAUAUAGAUUACGCUGUUUACCACAUAUAUGCUUUUUUCAGGAAUUCAAGAUGGUUCUUUCUUCUCUAAUUUUAUUUACACAAUAUUUUGGGAUAGAUUAUAUAGAAUAACUGGUCAAAGGUGAAAUUCAUAGUUGAGUGAUACUUUGAAUGCAGAUAUCCCCUCUUUAUCAUUGGUGAUUAAAUUGAAAUAUCUUUUUUCACUUUCUUCAGCUUCCAUAAAUCUAUAUACUAAUAAAUCACAUAUCUAUAACCUGGGCAAAACAAUGCACCACAUGACAGUGUUUUCAAUCAAGGUUCCUCAAAUGGACUACCUGACAGAAUGCUGUGAUUCCUGUGGAAAAUGAAAUUUUGGAAAGUUCUUGCCAUUUCAGUGCUACAACUGCCCUGCUAUGAUCACGUGAUCCUCAUUUACAACAUACUCUGACAUCUUUCCACAAACUAAACUUCCCAAACUAUCCUUGGGAAGAAUCUGAUAGUCAAGAAUACAAAAUCUAGUCAAAAAUAUCUGACAGACAGUGGGUAAACAAUAAUAACAACAAAGUAGUCAGAUGUUAAGUAACAUAUUCAUUGUUUCUUUUUUACUAAGGAAAUAAUGAGUUAAUGUAUAUAUCUUUACUUCCUUUGAUAAAUGCUGUUUGAUUAAUGUUUGAGAGUUUGGAAAAUAUAUUUUGCUUGAACAUUAUUUAUUUUGUAUGCAUAUGUUUGAUUAGCUAGGAGGACAGUAUGAAAUAUUAACAUGACGUUAUUUAAUUGCCAGUAAUAUAAAUAUUGGCCCUAGAAUUUAAGUACUGUGUUUGUUUUUACCUUAUUAGAAGCAGGAUAAGAUUGGAUUUGAAUUAUUUAUUUUGUGCUGCAUGCCAAAUAUCUGUACUUUAAACCAGGCCCUUCAAGUUAUUUGAGAAUUUCAUUUAUGUAAGAUCUCUCAACACAUUCCCUAUAUGAAAUCACAAUUACUACUCCAAAAUAGGAUAUUGAGCUAGAUCCAAAUUUAGAUAUGUGCACAGAGCUUUAGGAAAUAAACUAGCCCAUUCCUCCCUUCCUCUCCAUGGCAGCUCUGGGAAUAUGCUGUAUGAAUGUAUAGGGACACUGAUUUGUGGACUAAGAAUUCAACAGAGGAACUUAAAUGUGACCAUUCUUGUAUAUUUUGAAUUUUUAUGCUUGCUUAAUACUACCCAAAAACAUUGACUCAGACUUUCCAUUAUGUUUGUAGUUUUGUUUUGGAUAAGAUGGACUUGCUAGAAAAAGCUUUGGGAAUUAUUUUCGUUCCUAUGGUCUCUCUACUCCUGUAUAUAAUUAAGGAGACAUGUGUACCUUCUUCUCAUUAAAUUGAUGGGAACAGGAAGAGUAGAUAUUUUUGUUAUACACCUCUUAUUAAGAGUCACACUUUGCCAAUAAACUUAUGAACCUUUAAAGUGUCUGAUCUACAGCCCUGUUGUGGAAAAGAAUCCAACUGUGAAGCAUGAACAGUAUCCAAGCUGGGAAAGAAUUUUAUGGUAUCAUUUGACUACUGUUGCAAUACACAACUAUUUCUUUUGUCUUUAGCAAGCUGUCCUUUUUUAAGGGAAAAAUAACUUUUCAGGAUAAGGAAACUGUUAAAUACAUCACGAAAAAAAUAAUUGUGCUGAGGCUCUGAAAUUAGGAAUUAAAAACCAGAGUAAUUAUAGUCGAGAUAAUAUAGGUUGAAUGGACAUUCACAGAAACAGAAAGAAUCUUGGAUUGCUUUUAUGUGUGUGUGUGUAUGUUUGUGUUUGAGUGAGUGAGAAUGAGAUAGAGAAAGAUCAAUGUGCAAAUAGGCUGCAAAAACAAAAAGAAAAGCCAAGAAAAGAGACCAGUGUUUAAAUUUAAGGCAGUUACAGGUUUUCUAAAAGAUACCAUAUGUCCUGAAUGAUGAAAAUAAACUUGGAGUCAACUUCAUUGUUUACAUAAUUAUUUAACAGUGUUCUAGAUCAGGCCCACACAGAAUUGAAUCAAUUCAUCACACACAACUAUUGGCUCUAAGACUAAAGAGCAACACUUAUUAGAUAUCAACAAGCAACUCAGAAAUUAAUGUUCUGUUUUUCUUUUUUAAGGGUAUAUUCAUCCAAGAAUUGUGUGACAGUUCAAAAGCAAAUCCAAAUGUCUGUGAUCCAUGAUACUGGCUGUGUUUAAGAACGGGUCAAAUUUAUUUCUUGUUCAGCUGUGGAAUACUUGAGCUUCAAAUAAAACUAGAAAUAAGAGCCCCAUUCCUCCAUUCAGAGGAUCUCAUAACUCAAUAUGCUUCCUGGCCCCUUGUCUUUCAGUAUAGCUUCAGGAUUUCCAAUUGUCCCUCUUAGGAACUGCUAGAAUUCUUUUGUAUAUGAUCACACAAAUGCACACAAAGGAAUAUGCAUGUGGAACAUUUAUGAGUAAAAUUAUUUCCCUUUUUUUGCAUGGAUUGGGAUUGAGAAGAUUCCUGUUUCUGAAGGACCUGCAGCAGCCCCGGAUAGAAAAGGGUGUUUUCUACUUGUUCUGUGUUUCUGCAGUAUCAUGAAUGAAGACAAUCAUGGAUCAUCUUCAAACUGUUUUUCAGGAAAUAAAGAAUGGGAAUUGUGACAGUGUGGAAAUACCUAUUGAUUUUAACUCCAUGCUCCCUAUUUUCUCCAAUAACUACAUUUCCCAUGAUUCUCAUCCAAAUGUAUGCUGUUCCCUAAUAUCUUCCCUAAUAUCUUCAUCUUUCUCAAGAUUACUUCACUUCCAUCCUCUCUUUAAUUUAUUUUAUCCAAGUCCUCAGACAACAUUUGAACUCUUGGAGCCUCUGGACCAAUGCAACAUUUUGAUAGUUGCUGAAAAUCAGCAUUCUGAGAUUAGUGUCCUACAAAACACAUGAAAAUAAUUGAAGAUAUAAUCUUAUAUUUACAAUUCAGACCUAAAUAAAACCAAGUUCCCAAACCUGGAACCUCUUCCUCCAAAAUCUGAGCCCUGGUCACAUAUAUAACAUAGCCCUGCCCCUUAUGUAUGAUGCACCAUCAAUUGAAGCUUUUACCUUUCCUUAUGCUGCUUAGCACUUGGCAACCAAAAGUUUGCCUGCUUUUGACACAGAGUCUCUACAUUUAAUAUAUUGACUCACAUAUUAAGUGAUAGAAAAAUAAAUCAAACUGGUUUUCACUCUGUAUAGUGGGAAACAAGGAAAUUAUUUCCCUUUUUUAUUUGCUCAAAUUUACAAAAUUACCUUAUUUUUAAAACUGUGAAACCUGUCUGAUAUAAUUCUUUCAUCUUCAUAGUAGUCCAUAUUGGUCUGUUCUCAUAAUUUGACAAUUUUGAAAUAUUUAUAUAAUUUUCUCAAAUUAGGGAUCAGAAAUACCUGUCUUCACAAAAUAGAUACAUCAGAUGUAAAGUAAGCUCCCUUUAAUGUAGAAGCUCCUCCCUCCACCCAUUUAAAUGAUAUGGCACUAUCUCCUUCACAUAAUUUUAAGACUUUCCCUUCAAAAAUGUUUUAGUGAGUAAUGAGUUACCAAAAGAUAGCCUACCUGGUUGAGGAAAAUGAAAUUCUAUCAUGUUAAAAAGUUUCACUAUCAAUGAAUUUCACAACCUGAGAAUGUGAACCUGUUAUCCAGAAAACUGAUACAUUUGACUAUACACUUUAUUUAAUGAUUUUAUAUAACAUAGUACCAACUCUGAUAUCAGAAUUAGGUUCUUAAACAAAGUGAGUGAUUCAUUGAGCUAUUCAAUGAGUCAUUCUAUUUCCUGAUCAAGCAAGAUUAUCACUUCAAGCUGGUAUGACUAUUUGGGGGAAUGCCAAAUAAUAAGGUCGGUGAUACUGUAAGAAUUUGGCCUUUGCUUUAAGAUACCCUUCUCUGAUUUGUAAAAAAUAUUGAAAACAAUAUGUCUUAUAAAGUUCUAGAAAUAAAAGGAAUUAAGAAACUG